RNAcentral lists this ribosomal RNA (752 nucleotides) under Klebsiella pneumoniae. Its description in RNAcentral is "bacterial SSU rRNA". It matches the Rfam family "Bacterial small subunit ribosomal RNA", at positions 23 to 765 of the family's 1533-position model. The record is from RNAcentral. Lineage: Bacteria; Pseudomonadati; Pseudomonadota; Gammaproteobacteria; Enterobacterales; Enterobacteriaceae.
CUCAGAUUGAACGCUGGCGGCAGGCCUAACACAUGCAAGUCGAGCGGUAGCACAGAGAGCUUGCUCUCGGGGUGACGAGCGGCGGACGGGUGAGUAAUGUCUGGGAAACUGCCUGAUGGAGGGGGAUAACUACUGGAAACGGUAGCUAAUACCGCAUAACGUCGCAAGACCAAAGUGGGGGACCUUCGGGCCUCAUGCCAUCAGAUGUGCCCAGAUGGGAUUAGCUAGUAGGUGGGGUAACGGCUCACCUAGGCGACGAUCCCUAGCUGGUCUGAGAGGAUGACCAGCCACACUGGAACUGAGACACGGUCCAGACUCCUACGGGAGGCAGCAGUGGGGAAUAUUGCACAAUGGGCGCAAGCCUGAUGCAGCCAUGCCGCGUGUAUGAAGAAGGCCUUCGGGUUGUAAAGUACUUUCAGCGGGGAGGAAGGCGAUAAGGUUAAUAACCUUGUCGAUUGACGUUACCCGCAGAAGAAGCACCGGCUAACUCCGUGCCAGCAGCCGCGGUAAUACGGAGGGUGCAAGCGUUAAUCGGAAUUACUGGGCGUAAAGCGCACGCAGGCGGUCUGUCAAGUCGGAUGUGAAAUCCCCGGGCUCAACCUGGGAACUGCAUUCGAAACUGGCAGGCUAGAGUCUUGUAGAGGGGGGUAGAAUUCCAUGUGUAGCGGUGAAAUGCGUAGAGAUCUGGAGGAAUACCGGUGGCGAAGGCGGCCCCCUGGACAAAGACUGACGCUCAGGUGCGAAAGCGUGGG